This 1593-nucleotide unclassified non-coding RNA is filed under the name Leishmania donovani. RNAcentral's name for it is "gene:LdHU3.35.2410(CDS-product:COP-coated_vesicle _membrane_protein_gp25L_precursor_putative)". The record is from RNAcentral. Lineage: Eukaryota; Euglenozoa; Kinetoplastea; Trypanosomatida; Trypanosomatidae.
UAAAUUAACCACAACGAUCUCUCGGAGGUUCAGUCAGCGAGCAACAAUAGAGGGAGCGUCAAGUCCUGCACUCGCUCGACAAGAAAAAAGCAAACAGCAACAAAAAAGGAACUUACUGUGACACACUAUGGCGCGUCGUGGCUCUACGUCUCUUGCAGCGGCCUCGACAGCCGCGCUGCUGGUGCUGGUGCUUAGUUCUACUGUGAAUGGUUUUGUGUUUCAACUUGAGUCUGGCAAAUCACGCUGCUUCUUACAGGAGGUGGCGAGUGGCACCGACUUGCGAAUUGUGUACAAGGCGGAUGACACCUAUGGUGAUUUUCUCGACGUUGUGCUCACCAACGCGAAUGGCAAUACACUCUACAGGGAGUUGGGCAAGAGUAGCGGCGCUUUCCUGGAGCGCAUCACCAACGGUGGUGAGCACUCCCUGUGCUUUACCUCACGUCAAGGAGCGCAGAGCGCGAAAAUGACGCGAAGCCUGUUGCUGGUGAUGCAAUUGGGCGCGGAUGCGAAAGACUACGACACCAUGGCGACGAAGGAGAAGAUGCGGCCGAUGGAGGUGCAGAUGCGCAUGAUGGAGGAUACGGUUCAGGAGGUUCACAACGAGUUCGUCUACUUCCGCGCCCGCGAGGCAGAGAUGCGUAACACGAAUGAGCACAUGACGGCCAAGGUGAUGUGGAUGUCGGUCGGCCUCAUCAUCCUCUUUGGCAUCUUUUGGUAUCUGCAGAUGCGUCACCUAAAGCGCUACUUCAAGAAGAAGCGCAUGAUCGAUUAGGCGAGCCCUCCCUCCCGCCUCCUGUUCCGCGACCGGUUCGGGGGCCGCAAAGAGUGAGAAAAGCCCCGGCGGAGGUGUAUGUAUGCGUAUGUGUGUGUGCUCAUUUUUGAUUCCUUGCACUCUCCUUGAGUCUGGUGUGGCUGCUUUCACCGCCGCCACCUCAAGCAUCUGUGCGUGUGUGUGUGUCUCUCAGCUGCUGACGUUCUCUCUGCGCCGCCCUUUGUCUACCUCGGCUCCUUUCUUUUGUGCUGUUCAGGAGUACCGAGUUAAAGGAGAGGGAAAGGGGAUGAGAGGGGCCAAGGUGAGGUGUGUGCGACUGCCAACCGCAGAGGCAGCGAUGAGCGGCAGCGUGGCAUGUGAUGCACAACCGCAAGGAAAAAACAAAGCGGUUCUUCGGGCAUUUAUUUUCCUUUUCUUUUCCCUUUUCUGUUCUCCUGUGCUUGCUCUGUGUGCAUUGUCCUUGCAAGUUUGUGUACAGCCAGGUGCUGUGUGCGUGUGCGUGCGCUUGUGGGUUGGAGUGCAGGGGUGAGAGGGGGUCGACGCCUCUUGGCGGCUUGUACUCCCCGUCGCCGUUCGCCGAGUCGUGGCUCUCUCUAGCUCCCUUGUUCUCUUGUCGUGUUUUUGUGCCCUUUCCUCGCCUUGUGUUUUUGUGUGGUUCUGACAGCGACUCUUACUCUCUCGAUGCGUGUAACGUAACUCUGCAAGCGUUGGGCAGGCUGUAGGCGGAUGGGGAACUUCGCCGAAUCGGGUCUAUACAUGAAUGCCUGCGCGUGCAUCUCUCUGUGUGUGCGAGCUGGCGUGUGCCCUCUAUAGCAGCUGUG